RNAcentral lists this ribosomal RNA (372 nucleotides) under uncultured organism. RNAcentral's name for it is "bacterial SSU rRNA". It matches the Rfam family "Bacterial small subunit ribosomal RNA", at positions 526 to 896 of the family's 1533-position model. The record is from RNAcentral.
CGUAGGUGGCAAGCGUUGUCCGGAAUUAUUGGGCGUAAAGCGCGCGCAGGCGGUUCCUUAAGUCUGAUGUGAAAGCCCCCGGCUCAACCGGGGAAGGUCAUUGGAAACUGGGGAACUUGAGUGCAGAAGAGAAGAGCGGAAUUCCACGUGUAGCGGUGAAAUGCGUAGAGAUGUGGAGGAACACCAGUGGCGAAGGCGGCUCUUUGGUCUGUAACUGACGCUGAGGCGCGAAAGCGUGGGGAGCAAACAGGAUUAGAUACCCUGGUAGUCCACGCCGUAAACGAUGAGUGCUAAGUGUUAGAGGGUUACCGCCCUUUAGUGCUGCAGCUAACGCAUUAAGCACUCCGCCUGGGGAGUACGGCCGCAAGGCUG